CCCAGUGGCGGACGGGUGAGUAACGCGUGGGUAACCUGCCCUGUACAGGGGGACAACAGCCGGAAACGGCUGCUAAUACCGCAUAAGCCCGCGGCGCCGCAUGGCGCUGCGGGGAAAACUCCGGUGGUACAGGAUGGGCCCGCGUCUGAUUAGCUAGUUGGCGGGGUAACGGCCCACCAAGGCAGCGAUCAGUAGCCGGCUCGAGAGAGUGGACGGCCACAUUGGGACUGAGACACGGCCCAGACUCCUACGGGAGGCAGCAG
This 263-nucleotide ribosomal RNA is filed under the name uncultured bacterium. Its description in RNAcentral is "partial 16S ribosomal RNA". It matches the Rfam family "Bacterial small subunit ribosomal RNA", at positions 91 to 354 of the family's 1533-position model. The record is from RNAcentral.